RNAcentral lists this long non-coding RNA (669 nucleotides) under Sinocyclocheilus grahami. RNAcentral's name for it is "lncRNA (ENSSGRG00000016351.1)". Lineage: Eukaryota; Metazoa; Chordata; Actinopteri; Cypriniformes; Cyprinidae. The record is from RNAcentral.
GCAGUGCAAAAGGGAAAUAACAUAAGUGUGGUACAGCUCAAUAACACAUUAUAAAAGAUGAAGAUCUGUAAGGAUGGUUCAUUUGAAUCUGUAAUCCGGAGUUAUAGAAACAUACAGAAGAUAAGCAUUUUAUGCCAUCACUUUCAACAGCAAGAAUGUUGUACAUCACACAUUGUGUUGUUUAAUGUCUUUUUCAUUGUUUUUCUCUUUUAUGUGAAUUCUUUUCCUUUCUUCUUCCUCUUUAGAUCUGUUCUUCUUGUCUAGUUCCUUCUUUUCUUCUUCUCUCAUCUUAAAAGCAUUCAAUUGCUUCUUGUAUCGUUCUUUCUCCUCCACAGCUUGUGUAUAUCCUGCCCAAAAACUGAAUGGGCCAAAAGAUGAACCCUUUGUGGAACCUAGUUCCUUCUUUUCUUCUUCUCUCAUCUUAAAAGCAUUCAAUUGCUUCUUGUAUCGUUCUUUCUCCUCCACAGCUUGUGUAUAUCUUGCCCAAAUUGAACUGAAUGGGCCAAAAGAUGAACCCAUUGUGGAACCAGUUGAACCCAUUGUGGAACCAGAUGAACCCUUUGUGGAACCAGAUGAACCCAUAUCCUGCCAAAGUUGACUCCAUUUAAUGGUAGAAGAUAUUAUAGUUUUUUCAGGUAUAUGACGUCAAAAGAGAGAAAGAGAAAAUUC